Long non-coding RNA from Asparagus officinalis (garden asparagus), 455 nucleotides. RefSeq lists it as uncharacterized. The record is from RefSeq and is a predicted model, not a curated record. Lineage: Eukaryota; Viridiplantae; Streptophyta; Magnoliopsida; Asparagales; Asparagaceae. The transcript is spliced from 3 exons.
AUAGCCUUCCAUCAAAAUUAGUUACCAAAUGUAUCUUGAAUUCAUAAACCACUUUACUCUUUCAUCGGUUAUGCCUAUAUUCCUCCUCUUUUCAAUUCAUCGGUUAUGCCCUAAUCCUUACACUUCAUCGGUUACGUCUCCUCUGAUCUUCCGCUACCUCCACCGACUUUUAAAGAUGAAUUCUCAGUUCUUCUCAUUCAUCAUCAACAUUCUACCUACGUCGUCAUCAACGCUUCACCGUUCUUCUCAGAUUUUGGGAAUUGGUCAAUUGUUUUCCGAUCUAGGACUUGCUUCAAGUAUUCUAAUUGAUCCUGUGUCAAUUUCAUCAGGACACUGUAUUUAAUCUAUAUGCUUUGAGCUGCGGACAUCUUUUCUGCAAAAGCUGUGCUUGCUCUUCAGCUUCUGUGCUGAUUUUCCAAGGUCUCAAGACAACAUCUAAGAAAGUGAAGUGUCCG